UCGAACGGUGAAGCCUGCUUUGGUGGGUGGAUGAGUGGCGAACGGGUGAGUAACACGUGAGUAACCUGCCCCCUUCUUCUGGAUAACUGCACGAAAGUGUGGCUAAUACGGGGUAUUCUGGUCCUGCUGCAUGGUGGGGUUGGGAAAGAUUCUGGUUUCGGCUGGUUUUGGUGGGGGAUGGGCUCGCGGCCUAUCAGCUUGUUGGUGGGGUGAUGGCCUACCAAGGCGGUGACGGGUAGCCGGCCUGAGAGGGUGGACGGUCACACUGGGACUGAGAUACGGCCCAGACUCCUGCGGGAGGCAGCAGUGGGGAAUAUUGCACAAUGGGCGGAAGCCUGAUGCAGCGACGCCUCGUGAGGGAUGGAGGCCUUCGGGUUGUGAACCUCUUUCGCCGGUAAUGAAGGCCUGUCUUUUUUGGGUGGGUUGACGGUAGCUGGGUAAGAAGCGCCGGCUA
This 454-nucleotide ribosomal RNA is filed under the name Actinomycetales bacterium. Its description in RNAcentral is "bacterial SSU rRNA". It matches the Rfam family "Bacterial small subunit ribosomal RNA", at positions 62 to 499 of the family's 1533-position model. The record is from RNAcentral. Lineage: Bacteria; Bacillati; Actinomycetota; Actinomycetes; Actinomycetales.